UACGUAGGGGGCAAGCGUUGUCCGGAUUUAUUGGGCGUAAAGAGCGUGUAGGCGGCCAUACAGGUCAGCUGUGAAAACUCGAGGCUCAACCUCGAGACGUCGGUUGAAACCGUAUGGCUAGAGUCCGGAAGAGGAGAGUGGAAUUCCCGGUGUAGCGGUGAAAUGCGCAGAUAUCGGGAAGAACACCCGUGGCUAAGGCGGCUCUCUGGGACGGUACUGACGCUGAGACGCGAAAGCGUGGGGAGCGAACAGG
This 253-nucleotide ribosomal RNA is filed under the name uncultured bacterium. RNAcentral describes it as "partial 16S ribosomal RNA". It matches the Rfam family "Bacterial small subunit ribosomal RNA", at positions 524 to 776 of the family's 1533-position model. The record is from RNAcentral.